UAGCUCAGUGGUAGAGCUCUCGCCGCAUAAGCGGGAAGACCUGGGUUCGAUUCCCGG
This is a transfer RNA of Toxocara canis (dog roundworm), 57 nucleotides long. It matches the Rfam family "tRNA", at positions 8 to 63 of the family's 71-position model. Rfam says of the family: Transfer RNA (tRNA) molecules are approximately 80 nucleotides in length. NCBI's taxonomy places the organism in Eukaryota, Metazoa, Nematoda, Chromadorea, Rhabditida, Toxocaridae. The record is from Rfam.